CCUACGGGUGGCAGCAGUGGGGAAUAUUGCACAAUGGGGGAAACCCUGAUGCAGCGACGCCGCGUGAGUGAAGAAGCGUUUCGGCGCGUAAAGCUCUGUCAGCGGGGAAGAAACACGGUUCGCGAGAGCCGCGGACGGUACCCGACCAAGAAGCCCCGGCUAACUACGUGCCAGCAGCCGCGGUAAUACGUAGGAUGCGAGCGUUAUCCGGAUUUAUUGGGUUUAAAGGGUGCGCAGGCGGGCUGUUAAGCCGGCGGUAAACACUCAGGGCUCAACCCGGUCGUGCCGUCGGAACUGGCAGUCUUGAGUGGGCGAAAAGUAUGCGGAAUGCGUGGUGUAGCGGUGAAAUGCAUAGAUAUCACGCAGAACGCCGAUUGCGAAGGCAGCAUACCGGAGCCCAACUGACGCUGAGGCACGAAAGCGUGGGGAUCGAACAGGAUUAGAUACCCUUGUAGUC
Molecule: ribosomal RNA, 457 nt
Filed under: uncultured bacterium
Lineage: Bacteria
Description: partial 16S ribosomal RNA
Rfam family: Bacterial small subunit ribosomal RNA
Source: RNAcentral